GACGAACGCUGGCGGCGUGCUUGAACACAUGCAAGUCGAACGGAGAUAGAAGCUUGCUUCUAUCUUAGUGGCAAACGGGUGAGUAACGCGUGGGUAACSUACCCUAAAGUGGGGGAUAACAGGUCGAAAGGUCUGCUAAUACCGCAUACCCUUCAAGUACGAAAGUAUUUGAAGGAAAGGAGUAAUCCGCUUAAGGAGGGGCSUGCGUCSUAUCAGGUAGUUGGUGAGGUAACGGCUCACCAAGCMUAUGACGGGUAGCUGGUCUGAGAGGAUGAUCAGUCACACUGGAACUGAGACACGGUCCAGACUCCUACGGGAGGCAGCAGUGGGGAAUAUUCCGCAAUGGGCGAAAGCCUGACGGAGCGACGCCGCGUGGAUGAUGAAGACCCUAUGGGUCGUAAAAUCSUUUUGUGAGGGAAGAAGAUCUGACGGUACCUCACGAAUAGGCCACGGCUAACUACGUGCCAGCAGCCGCGGUAAAACGUAGGUGGCAAGCGUUGUCCGGAAUUACUGGGCGUAAAGAGUGCGUA
RNAcentral lists this ribosomal RNA (530 nucleotides) under uncultured Thermodesulfobium sp. RNAcentral describes it as "bacterial SSU rRNA". It matches the Rfam family "Bacterial small subunit ribosomal RNA", at positions 28 to 573 of the family's 1533-position model. The record is from RNAcentral. Lineage: Bacteria; Pseudomonadati; Thermodesulfobiota; Thermodesulfobiia; Thermodesulfobiales; Thermodesulfobiaceae.